GCAAGUCGAGGGGUAACAGGUAGCUUGCUAUGCUGACGACCGGCGCACGGGUGCGUAACGCGUAUACAAUCUGCCUAUCACUGAGGGAUAGCCCGAAGAAAUUUGGAUUAACACCUCAUAGUAUUAUAGAAUCGCAUGGUUUUAUAAUUAAAGGUUACGGUGAUAGAUGAGUAUGCGUCCUAUUAGCUAGAUGGAGAGGUAAAGGCUCCCCAUGGCUACGAUAGGUAGGGGUCCUGAGAGGGAGAUC
RNAcentral lists this ribosomal RNA (247 nucleotides) under uncultured bacterium. RNAcentral's name for it is "partial 16S ribosomal RNA". It matches the Rfam family "Bacterial small subunit ribosomal RNA", at positions 57 to 305 of the family's 1533-position model. The record is from RNAcentral.